Molecule: ribosomal RNA, 253 nt
Filed under: uncultured bacterium
Lineage: Bacteria
Description: partial 16S ribosomal RNA
Rfam family: Bacterial small subunit ribosomal RNA
Source: RNAcentral
UACGGAGGGUGCAAGCGUUGUCCGGAUUUAUUGGGUUUAAAGGGUGCGCAGGCGGGCCUUUAAGUCAGUGGUGAAAUCCCAUAGCUUAACUAUGGAACUGCCAUUGAUACUGGAGGUCUUGAGUUCAGUUGAGGUAAGCGGAAUUGAUGGUGUAGCGGUGAAAUGCAUAGAUACCAUCAGGAACACCGAUUGCGAAGGCAGCUUACUGGACAUGGACUGACGCUGAGGCACGAAAGCGUGGGGAGCGAACAGG